UGAGUAACACGUAAGCAACCUGCCUAUCAGAGGGGAACAACAGUUAGAAAUGACUGCUAAUACCGCAUAUGCCUUAGUAUCGCAUGGUACAAAAGGGAAAGGAGCAAUCCGCUGAUAGAUGGGCUUGCGUCUGAUUAGCUAGUUGGUGGGGUAAAGGCCUACCAAGGCGACGAUCAGUAGCCGGACUGAGAGGUUGAACGGCCACAUUGGGACUGAGAUACGGCCCAGACUCCUACGGGAGGCAGCAG
Molecule: ribosomal RNA, 248 nt
Filed under: uncultured bacterium
Lineage: Bacteria
Description: partial 16S ribosomal RNA
Rfam family: Bacterial small subunit ribosomal RNA
Source: RNAcentral